CCUACGGGAGGCAGCAGUGAGGAAUAUUGGUCAAUGGGCGAGAGCCUGCACCAGCCAAGUCGCGUGAAGGAUGACGGCCUUCGGGUUGUAAACUGCUUUUAUAAGCGAGAAAUAUGAUGGUAACUUAUGAAUAAGGAUCGGCUAACGACGUGCCAGCAGCCGCGGUCAUACGUAGGAUCCGAGCAUUAUCCGGAGUGACUGGGUGUAAAGAGUUGCGUAGGUGGCAUAAUAAGUAGCUAGUGAAAUCUGGUGGCUCAAACAUUCAGACUAUUAGCGAAACUGUUAAGCUAGAGACCGUUAGGGGUAACUGGAAUUUCUGGUGUAGGAGUGAAAUCCGUAGAUAUUAGGAGGAACACCAAUAGCGUAGGCAGGUUACUGGGACGGUUCUGACGCUGAGGCACGAAAGCGUAGGGAGCAAACGGGAUUAGAUACCCCUGUAGUC
Molecule: ribosomal RNA, 442 nt
Filed under: uncultured bacterium
Lineage: Bacteria
Description: partial 16S ribosomal RNA
Rfam family: Bacterial small subunit ribosomal RNA
Source: RNAcentral